This is a non-coding RNA of Oryzias melastigma (Indian medaka), 690 nucleotides long. The record is from the annotation of a RefSeq genome assembly. NCBI's taxonomy places the organism in Eukaryota, Metazoa, Chordata, Actinopteri, Beloniformes, Adrianichthyidae.
AUGGAGCUGCUGAUGCAAAGUGUUUCUAUGGAAAUGCAACCACUGACUCCAACAGGAACAUGGAUCUCUGUCAUCAGGAUUCUCACACAUGGAUCCAGCAGAGAUUCCAGAUGGGAUUCUGAAAUAUUGUUUGUAUCACUGUGGUACACGUUUGGUGGAGGAACCAGACUGGAUGUUGGAAGUGAUGUCCGUCCCACCCUGACAGUGCUGUCCCCCUCCAUGGAUCAGGGGAACGCCACACUCCUGUGUCUGGCCAACAAUGGCUUCCCUUCAGGCUGGACUCUGUCCUGGAAGGUGGACGGCAGUGGCAGCAGCAGCAGCAGCAGCCAUAGGGUGCUGCAGAAGGACGGCCUCUACAGCUGGAGCAGCACCCUGAGGCUCUCUGCAGACCAGUGGGAGAAGGUGGACUCUGUGACCUGUGAGGCCACCCAGGGCUGCCAGACUCCAGUCUCAGAGACACUGAGGAGAAACACCUGUUCCUAGUCACCACCUCAAUGACUUGUUUUUGCUUUUACUAAGUUUUCUGCUGGAUAGAUAUUGUCCAUUUUCUUUCUUUUGUGUGCUAUCAAAAUAUUUGUAUUAAAUGUUGAUUAUUUGAUGCUUUCUGCAAAAUAAAAUUACUUUUCAAAGUUGUUUGGUAUGUGAUUGCCAAUUGCCCAGGCAAAUAUGAACAUUUUAUCUAAGACAUUU